This 484-nucleotide ribosomal RNA is filed under the name uncultured bacterium. Its description in RNAcentral is "partial 16S ribosomal RNA". It matches the Rfam family "Bacterial small subunit ribosomal RNA", at positions 30 to 507 of the family's 1533-position model. The record is from RNAcentral.
AUUGAACGCUGGCGGCAGGCCUAACACAUGCAGGUCGAGCGGAUGAAGGGAGCUUGCUCCUGGAUUCAGCGGCGGACGGGUGAGUAAUGCCUAGGAAUCUGCCUGGUAGUGGGGGAUAACGUCCGGAAACGGGCGCUAAUACCGCAUACGUCCUGAGGGAGAAAGUGGGGGAUCUUCGGACCUCACGCUAUCAGAUGAGCCUAGGUCGGAUUAGCUAGUUGGUGGGGUAAAGGCCUACCAAGGCGACGAUCCGUAACUGGUCUGAGAGGAUGAUCAGUCACACUGGAACUGAGACACGGUCCAGACUCCUACGGGAGGCAGCAGUGGGGAAUAUUGGACAAUGGGCGAAAGCCUGAUCCAGCCAUGCCGCGUGUGUGAAGAAGGUCUUUGGAUUGUAAAGCACUUUAAGUUGGGAGGAAGGGCAGUAAGUUAAUACCUUGCUGUUUUGACGUUACCAACAGAAUAAGCACCGGCUAACUUCGUG